GAUGAAGAACGUAGCGAAAUGCGAUAAGUAAUGUGAAUUGCAGAAUUCAGUGAAUCAUCGAAUCUUUGAACGCACCUUGCGCUCUUUGGUAUUCCGAAGAGCAUGCCUGUUUGAGUGUCAUGAAAAUAUCAACCUUGACUUGGGUUUUGUGCUCUAGUCUCGGCUUGGAAUUGGGUGCUUGCCGCUUUUACGAGCGGCUCACCUUAAAUGUAUUAGCUGGAUCUGUCUUUGAGACUUGGUUUGACUUGGCGUAAUAAGUAUUUCGCUAAGGACAUUCUUCGGAGUGGCCUCGUUUCUAGGACGCUUGUCCGCUUUCCAAUACAAGUUCCACCUCGUGGACAUGACUUUUUAUUAUCUGGCCUCAAAUCAGGUAGGACUACCCGCUGAACUUAAGCAUAUCAAAGCGGAGGA
Molecule: unclassified non-coding RNA, 411 nt
Filed under: soil metagenome
Description: partial contains 5.8S ribosomal RNA, internal transcribed spacer 2, and large subunit ribosomal RNA
Rfam family: 5.8S ribosomal RNA (bases 1-120)
Source: RNAcentral